GAUAAACGCUGGCGGCGUGCAUAACACAUUCAAGUCGAACGGGAAUCGGAUGAUUGAGACUUCGGUCGAUUGAUUUCGAGGAUAGUGGCGGACGGGUGAGUAACGCGUGAGCAACCUGCCUUCAUGAGGGGGAUAACAGUGGGAAACGACUGCUAAUACCGCAUAACGUAUCGAGUGGGCAUCCACUUGAUACCAAAGGAGCAAUCCGCUGUAAGAUGGACUCGCGUCUGAUUAGAUAGUUGGUGAGGUAACGGCUCACCAAGUCGACGAUCAGUAGCCGGACUGAGAGGUUGAUCGGCCACAUUGGGACUGAGACACGGCCCAGACUCCUACGGGAGGCAGCAGUGGGGAAUAUUGGGCAAUAGGCGAAAGCCUGACCCAGCAACGCCGCGUGAAGGAUGACGGUCUUCGGAUUGUAAACUUCUUUAAUUGGGGAAGAACAAAAUGACCUACCCAAAGAAUAAGUCACGGCUAACUACGUG
RNAcentral lists this ribosomal RNA (482 nucleotides) under uncultured bacterium. RNAcentral describes it as "bacterial SSU rRNA". It matches the Rfam family "Bacterial small subunit ribosomal RNA", at positions 28 to 507 of the family's 1533-position model. The record is from RNAcentral.